RNAcentral lists this ribosomal RNA (253 nucleotides) under uncultured bacterium. Its description in RNAcentral is "partial 16S ribosomal RNA". It matches the Rfam family "Bacterial small subunit ribosomal RNA", at positions 524 to 776 of the family's 1533-position model. The record is from RNAcentral.
UACAGAGGUCUCAAGCGUUGUUCGGAUUCAUUGGGCGUAAAGGGCGCGUAGGCGGCGCGGUAAGUCGGGUGUGAAAUCUCGGAGCUUAACUCCGAAACUGCAUUCGAUACUGCCGUGCUUGAGGACUGGAGAGGAGACUGGAAUUUACGGUGUAGCGGUGAAAUGCGUAGAUAUCGUAAGGAAGACCAGUGGCGAAGGCGGGUCUCUGGACAGUUCCUGACGCUGUAGAGCGAAAGCGUGGGGAGCGAACAGG